CGCGGCCGUCGGCGGGGCGGCCAGCCUGGGCCUCUACGGGGUGCUCGGCUGGUUGCUCGUCAACGGGUCCAUCCCGCUGGCCGCGGC
This 87-nucleotide transfer RNA is filed under the name Asanoa siamensis. Its description in RNAcentral is "tRNA-Arg". The record is from RNAcentral. Lineage: Bacteria; Bacillati; Actinomycetota; Actinomycetes; Micromonosporales; Micromonosporaceae.